Molecule: long non-coding RNA, 462 nt
Organism: Oreochromis niloticus (Nile tilapia)
Lineage: Eukaryota; Metazoa; Chordata; Actinopteri; Cichliformes; Cichlidae
Exons: 3
Source: RefSeq, a predicted model, not a curated record
CCUACAUCCACACCUUCAUCACUCUCCCUUCCUGUUCUCUCUGUGUUGUCAUCUGUUGGAUCAGUCAUUGCGUUCGUUGUCCUUCUAGUGAGAUAUAUUCAUAGGAAAGACAUUGAUACAGAUGCAGUCUACUCAACAGCAAGAAUAGAAGACAUCAAAGACAAGGAAAACAAAUCAAAGAUGACAGGGACAGCUCCGGUUUACAGCUAAAACUGUGGCUGAUCUAACAAUUUAUAACCUUUGAAAUGACGUUAAACCAGAGCCAGAUGUCAUCUACUCUUCACUGAAGUAGUCCACCAGUCCAACCACUGACAUCCAGCUGCUGGUCUGUAAUCCUCCUGCAACACAGAUCAGAAGACAACCUCUCUGUUAUAUAGAUAUUAGUCAUGCUUGUUGGAUCUAUCUCUUGUUUCUGUGGCAGCAAUAUGGUUUCUCUGCAGGGUUAAUAAACUUAUUAUCUCA